UAAUAUAGACAAUAUUAAAAAAUAUAUUUCUAAGAAAACGAUUAUUACGCAUGUAAAUAAUGUAAGAUUUAGCUAGAUAUAAGUAUAGUAUUAUAAGGAAAUAAUAAUAAUACAAAAAAAAAAAAAAAAAAAAAAAAAAAAAAAAUACUUGUUAAAAAAAAAAAAAAAAAAAAAAAAAAAAAAAAAAAAAAAAAAAAAAAAAAAAAAAAAAAAUAUACAAA
RNAcentral lists this unclassified non-coding RNA (221 nucleotides) under Melitaea cinxia (Glanville fritillary). RNAcentral's name for it is "misc RNA ENSMCXG00005000571.1". Lineage: Eukaryota; Metazoa; Arthropoda; Insecta; Lepidoptera; Nymphalidae. The record is from RNAcentral.